This is a non-coding RNA of Podarcis lilfordi (Lilford's wall lizard), 785 nucleotides long. NCBI's taxonomy places the organism in Eukaryota, Metazoa, Chordata, Lepidosauria, Squamata, Lacertidae. The record is from the annotation of a GenBank genome assembly.
AGAAUACAAACAGAACAGUAAUAAAGACAAUAUUAGACAAUAUUCCAACUCCUGAAGUCCGUGCAGGCCCGACAGGGCGGCUUCUUCUUAUUCGGUUCGGCGGCCGGCAGAGGCUGCCCCUCCGCGGGUUUUUCAGCCCCGGCCCUCGAGGCGGAGAAUGGGAAAGGGAAAGCGGGCGCCAGUCGGGACGUGCUGGGGCUGGGCACCGCCAGGUUGGGUGGGAGAAAAAGGAGGCUGAGAGUGGUUGUCAAUGGCAACUCCAGUAGGCUGCUUCCCCUUUUCCUGUUUACGCUGGAGUCUUAUUUGGCUUGCCACGCCUGCGGGCUCUCUUCCGGCCAACGCUGCCAAUGACAGAUCUCAAAAACCUGGGGUCGGUGAGAUUUGGAAUUCGCAGCACCUUGCGCCUGCUGGACCUCCUGAGCGGAGCAGGUUGUGUCUUGCUCCUCGUGAAGUAGGGGGAAAUGUGAGGAGUGUUGCAAGCCGGUGCAGAGGCCGAAGGUCUGGCCGAGAUGGUCAGGGGCUUCUUCCUAACCCAGUGGAACACCAGUAUCAUACGCCUCUUAGAUGGGUUGGACAUGCUGAAGAAGGUGAUGGAGGCCCAAAGACCAGGGUGACUUCAAAGCGGAGGACACAGCAGGCAGUUCCCUAUCAAUGGGGCAAAAUCCAAGCUAAUGUUAGCUCCAGUCCUGUUAAAUCAAUCCAGAAAUUAGGAACGUUAAAUAAGGAAUUAAUUCCUCAGGCAGUAUGAAAAGACUCUAUGUGGCUUUUCAAUAGCUGGGAGCUCC